UAUGCAAAACGGCAGCUAUUGUGCACGUUGGAAAAUGUUGUUUUCAAACAGUUUCCACGUUAGUGUGUUCUCGCGUUGGGAUUACACGUCCCCCCGUCUUUCCAUCAUCCUGCACCCUUGGCCCCACCCUGUUCAACCGACGCACUUACACACUUAUUACUCCAUUUGUGUGUGUGUGUGUGUGUGGAGGGGGUUGCAGAGGAAAAUAAAUGGAACGACUCACGCGAACUGUGCAAAAACAGUGUCAGCCUAGCGUGACCCUGGUACACGCAGCCAAAAUAAAAAAGGGAAUAAAAACAUGUCGAGGAUUCGUGUAAUCCUUAUAGUUUGGUCAGAAACGCACACAUCUUCUCUGUUGCUAUCAAGAAAAAUUCAUAUUUCACGAGCGUCUGAUUAGGAUUUCCGAGAGUGACGUGUGUGUGUGCGCGCCGCGUCCACAUGGGCGCAUAGACAACACGUAGUGACAUGUACACCGUUCGCAGGUUUCAGGUGGACGACAAAAAAACAAAACAAAAAGAGAAUAGGUUUCAACAUGAAAUAUUCAAUUGGUUUUGCUUGCUGUUGGAUGUGCAGUUGCGUCCGCUUUUGCCCAUCCAAACACGGUAAUCAUUAACAAGCGUGACGGUGCCGUAUCUAUAGCGAUAUACCGACCCCACCGUUAUACCUUUGUUAGUCCAUGUAGCGUGAAAAGAAGAAAAGAGAUGACAUCAAUGUCCAGUGAACUUCCAUUUUCCCACACGCGAUCAUCAAACGGCCAAAUUUGUCCAUUCAUCAUUUGAUGAACUCCAACGUUUGGCUGAUUUCAAUUCGAAAAUUCAAAAUGUCUGUUAAUUUCAUUGAAAUUACGAACACACCAGAUAAAAGUUACCUCAUAAAGAGGGAGCCAACAAAAUGAUGAGUCGCAGAAAACGAUUUUCGUCCGCUGAAAGACUUCGCCGCCCUUUCCCCCCGCAUUUUGUUAGAACUCAUUUGAUUUUUUUUCUCUCUCUCUCUAACCUCAAAGUGGGAAAUUUUUAGAAAAUAAAAAGAUAUACAAUCA
This is a long non-coding RNA of Daphnia magna, 1039 nucleotides long. RefSeq lists it as uncharacterized. The record is from RefSeq and is a predicted model, not a curated record. Lineage: Eukaryota; Metazoa; Arthropoda; Branchiopoda; Diplostraca; Daphniidae. The transcript has 2 exons.